CCUACGGGUGGCAGCAGUGAGGAAUAUUGGUCAAUGGCCGCAAGUCUGAACCAGCCAAGCCGCGUGCGGGAUGACGGCCCUAUGAGUUGUAAACCUCUUUUGUCAGGGAGCAAAGCGCGACACGUGUGUCGGUUUGCGAGUAUCUGACGAAUAAGGAUCGGCUAACUCCGUGCCAGCAGCCGCGGUAAUACGGAGGAUUCGAGCGUUAUCCGGAUUUAUUGGGUUUAAAGGGUGCGUAGGCGGUAUGUAAAGUUGGCGGUAAAAUGUCGGGGCUCAACCCCGUCGUGCCCUUGAAACCGGCGUUCUUGAGUGAGCGAGAGGUAGGCGGAAUGUGUGGUGUAGCGGUGAAAUGCAUAGAUAUCACGCAGAACUCCGAUUGCGAAGGCAGCAUACCGGCGCUCAACUGACGCUGAGGCACGAAAGCGUGGGUAGCGAACAGGAUUAGAUACCCUUGUAGUC
RNAcentral lists this ribosomal RNA (459 nucleotides) under uncultured bacterium. RNAcentral describes it as "partial 16S ribosomal RNA". It matches the Rfam family "Bacterial small subunit ribosomal RNA", at positions 338 to 795 of the family's 1533-position model. The record is from RNAcentral.